This 466-nucleotide ribosomal RNA is filed under the name Selenomonas sp. oral taxon H23. Its description in RNAcentral is "bacterial SSU rRNA". It matches the Rfam family "Bacterial small subunit ribosomal RNA", at positions 28 to 476 of the family's 1533-position model. The record is from RNAcentral. Lineage: Bacteria; Bacillati; Bacillota; Negativicutes; Selenomonadales; Selenomonadaceae.
GACGAACGCUGGCGGCGUGCUUAACACAUGCAAGUCGAACGGAGCGAAUGAAAGCUUGCUUUUAUGAGCUUAGUGGCAAACGGGUGAGUAACACGUAGACAACCUGCCGAUCAGAUGGGGACAACAUUCCGAAAGGAAUGCUAAUACCGAAUGAAGUGUGGGGGAGGCAUCUUCCCUACAUGAAAGAUGGCCUCUAUAUAUAAGCUAUCACUGAUCGAUGGGUCUGCGUCUGAUUAGCUAGUAGGUAAGGUAACGGCUUACCUAGGCGACGAUCAGUAGCCGGUCUGAGAGGAUGAACGGCCACAUUGGGACUGAGACACGGCCCAGACUCCUACGGGAGGCAGCAGUGGGGAAUCUUCCGCAAUGGGCGCAAGCCUGGCGGAGCAACGCCGCGUGAGUGAAGAAGGUCUUCGGAUCGUAAAGCUCUGUUGAAGGGGACGAACGUAUAUAGUGCGAAUAGUGCUGU